This 468-nucleotide ribosomal RNA is filed under the name uncultured bacterium. RNAcentral describes it as "partial 16S ribosomal RNA". It matches the Rfam family "Bacterial small subunit ribosomal RNA", at positions 28 to 507 of the family's 1533-position model. The record is from RNAcentral.
GACGAACGCUGGCGGCGUGCCUAACACAUGCAAGUCGAACGGAAAGGCCCUGCUUUUGUGGGGUUCUGGAGGGGCGAACGGGUGAGUAACACGUGAGUAACCUGCCCUUGACUUUGGGAUGACUUCAGGAAACUGGGGCUAAUAUCGGAUAGGAGCUCCUGUUGCGUGGUGGGGGGUGGAAAGUUUCGGCGGUUGGGGAUGGACUCGCGGCUUAUCAGCUUGUUGGUGGGGUAGUGGCUUACCAAGGCUUUGACGGGUAGCCGGCCUGAGAGGGUGGCCGGCCACAUUGCGACUGAGAUACGGACCAGACUCCUACGGGAGGCAGCAGUGGGGAAUCUUACACAGUGAGCGGAAGCCUGAUGCAGCAACCCCCCGUGCGGGAUGACGGCCUUCGGGUUGUAAACCGCUUUCGCCUGUGACGAAGCGUGAGUGACGGUAAUGAGUAAAGAAGCACCGGCUAACUACGUG